RNAcentral lists this ribosomal RNA (468 nucleotides) under uncultured bacterium. Its description in RNAcentral is "bacterial SSU rRNA". It matches the Rfam family "Bacterial small subunit ribosomal RNA", at positions 337 to 797 of the family's 1533-position model. The record is from RNAcentral.
UCCUACGGGGGGCAGCAGUGGGGAAUUUUGGACAAUGGGCGCAAGCCUGAUCCAGCCAUGCCGCGUGCGGGAAGAAGGCCUUCGGGUUGUAAACCGCUUUUGUCAGGGAAGAAACGGCUUGAACUAAUACUUUGAGCUAAUGACGGUACCUGAAGAAUAAGCACCGGCUAACUACGUGCCAGCAGCCGCGGUAAUACGUAGGGUGCAAGCGUUAAUCGGAAUUACUGGGCGUAAAGCGUGCGCAGGCGGCCAUGCAAGACAGAUGUGAAAUCCCCGGGCUCAACCUGGGAACUGCAUUUGUGACUGCAUGGCUGGAGUGCGGCAGAGGGGGAUGGAAUUCCGCGUGUAGCAGUGAAAUGCGUAGAUAUGCGGAGGAACACCGAUGGCGAAGGCAAUCCCCUGGGCCUGCACUGACGCUCAUGCACGAAAGCGUGGGGAGCAAACAGGAUUAGAAACCCUAGUAGUCCU